Molecule: small nuclear RNA, 107 nt
Filed under: Neogale vison (American mink)
Lineage: Eukaryota; Metazoa; Chordata; Mammalia; Carnivora; Mustelidae
Source: RNAcentral
GUGCCCAUUUCAGCGGUAUGUAUACUAAAAUUGGAAGGAUACAGAGAAGAUUAGCAUGGCCCCAGCACAAGGAUGACAUGCAAAUUUGUGAAGAUUUCCAUAUUUUU